Molecule: non-coding RNA, 97 nt
Organism: Desulfotignum phosphitoxidans DSM 13687
Lineage: Bacteria; Pseudomonadati; Thermodesulfobacteriota; Desulfobacteria; Desulfobacterales; Desulfobacteraceae
Rfam family: Bacterial small signal recognition particle RNA
About the family: The signal recognition particle (SRP) is a universally conserved ribonucleoprotein involved in the co-translational targeting of proteins to membranes.
Source: Rfam
GAUCGGUCGCCUUGUAACAGCAGGACAUGAACCUCGUCAGGUCCGGAAGGAAGCAGCGAUAAGUGAUCUCUUCUGUGUCAAGGAUCGAUCCCGAUCA